RNAcentral lists this transfer RNA (71 nucleotides) under Cavia porcellus (domestic guinea pig). It matches the Rfam family "tRNA". From Rfam's summary of the family: Transfer RNA (tRNA) molecules are approximately 80 nucleotides in length. Their secondary structure includes four short double-helical elements and three loops (D, anti-codon, and T loops). The record is from Rfam by way of RNAcentral. Lineage: Eukaryota; Metazoa; Chordata; Mammalia; Rodentia; Caviidae.
CGGGAUUUAGCUCAAUGGUAUAGGCGCCUGCCUGGCGAGCAGGAAAGUGUGAGUUUGAUCCUCAGUACCAA